RNAcentral lists this ribosomal RNA (254 nucleotides) under uncultured bacterium. Its description in RNAcentral is "partial 16S ribosomal RNA". It matches the Rfam family "Bacterial small subunit ribosomal RNA", at positions 524 to 776 of the family's 1533-position model. The record is from RNAcentral.
UACGGGGGGGGGUAAGCGUUGUUCGGAAUUACUGGGCGUAAAGGGCUCGUAGGCGGCCAACUAAGUCAUACGUGAAAUCCCUCAGCUUAACUGGGGAACUGCGUGUGAUACUGGAUGGCUUGGAUUUGGGAGAGGGAUGCGGAAUUCCAGGUGUAGCGGUGAAAUGCGUAGAUAUCAGGAGGAACACCGGUGGCGAAGGCGGCUACCUGGACAGAAACUGACGCUGAGGCGCGAAAGCUAGGGGAGCAAACAGG